GACGAACGCUGGCGGCGUGCCUAAUACAUGCAAGUAGAACGCAGUUGCGAACGGGUGAGUAACGCGUAGGUAACUGCCUCAUAGCGGGGGAUAACUAUUGGAAACGAUAGCUAAUACCGCAUACUGUGAGAUGGACCUGCGUGGUAUUAGGCUGUUGGUGAGGUAAAGGCCCACCAAGGCGACGAUACAUAGCCGACCUGAGAGGGUGAUCGGCCACACUGGGACUGAGACACGGCCCAGGCCUCUACCGGGGGGAGCAGUAGGGAAACUUCGGCCAUUGACGGAAAGCUGACCGAGCAACGCCGCGGGAGUGAAGAAGGUUCUCGGAUCUUAAAGCUCUGUUCUUAGGGGAGCGGUAACUAACCAGAAAGGGACGGCUAACUACGUGCCAGCCGCCGCGGUAAUUC
Molecule: ribosomal RNA, 407 nt
Filed under: uncultured bacterium
Lineage: Bacteria
Description: partial 16S ribosomal RNA
Rfam family: Bacterial small subunit ribosomal RNA
Source: RNAcentral